RNAcentral lists this ribosomal RNA (436 nucleotides) under Achromobacter xylosoxidans. RNAcentral's name for it is "bacterial SSU rRNA". It matches the Rfam family "Bacterial small subunit ribosomal RNA", at positions 95 to 525 of the family's 1533-position model. The record is from RNAcentral. Lineage: Bacteria; Pseudomonadati; Pseudomonadota; Betaproteobacteria; Burkholderiales; Alcaligenaceae.
CUGGCGAACGGGUGAGUAAUGUAUCGGAACGUGCCCGGUAGCGGGGGAUAACUACGCGAAAGCGACGCUAAUACCGCAUACGCCCUACGGGGGAAAGCGGGGGAUCGUCGGACCUUGCGCUAUUGGAGCGGCCUAUAUCGGAUUAGCUAGUUGGUGAGGUAACGGCUCACCAAGGCGACGAUCCGUAGCUGGUUUGAGAGGACGACCAGCCACACUGGAACUGAGACACGGCCCAGACUCCUACGGGAGGCAGCAGUGGGGAAUAUUGGACAAUGGGCGAAACCCUGAUCCAGCCAUCCCGCGUGUGCGAUGAAGGCCUUCGGGUUGUAAAGCACUUUUGGCAGGAAAGAAGCGCCGUGGGUUAAUACCUUGCGAAACUGACGGUACCUGCAGAAUAAGCACCGGCUAACUACGUGCCAGCAGCCGCGUUAAAUAA